Molecule: ribosomal RNA, 497 nt
Filed under: uncultured bacterium
Lineage: Bacteria
Description: partial 16S ribosomal RNA
Rfam family: Bacterial small subunit ribosomal RNA
Source: RNAcentral
GAUGAACGCUGGCGGCGUGCCUAAUACAUGCGAGUCGAGCGAACAGAUGAGGAGCUUGCUCCUCUGACGUUAGCGGCGGACGGGUGAGUAACACGUGGAUAACCUACCUAUAAGACUGGGAUAACUUCGGGAAACCGGAGCUAAUACCGGAUAAUAUAUUGAACCGCAUGGUUCAAUAGUGAAAGACGGUUUUGCUGUCACUUAUAGAUGGAUCCGCGCCGCAUUAGCUAGUUGGUAAGGUAACGGCUUACCAAGGCAACGAUGCGUAGCCGACCUGAGAGGGUGAUCGGCCACACUGGAGCUGAGCCACGGUCCAGACUCCUACGGGAGGCAGCAGUAGGCAAUCUUCCGCAAUGGGCGAAAGCCUGACGGAGCAACGCCGCUUGAGUGAUGAAGGUCUUCGGAUCGUACAACUCUGUUAUUAGGGAAGAACAAAUGUGUAAGUAACUAUGCACGUCUUGACGGUACCUAAUCAGAAAGCCACGGCUAACUACGUG